UACGGAGGGGGCUAGCGUUGUUCGGAAUUACUGGGCGUAAAGCGCACGUAGGCGGACCAGUUAGUUGGGGGUGAAAUCCCGGGGCUCAACCCCGGAACUGCCUCCAAAACUGCUGGUCUGGAGGUCGAGAGAGGUGAGUGGAAUUCCGAGUGUAGAGGUGAAAUUCGUAGAUAUUCGGAGGAACACCAGUGGCGAAGGCGGCUCACUGGCUCGAUACUGACGCUGAGGUGCGAAAGUGUGGGGAGCGAACAGG
Molecule: ribosomal RNA, 253 nt
Filed under: uncultured bacterium
Lineage: Bacteria
Description: partial 16S ribosomal RNA
Rfam family: Bacterial small subunit ribosomal RNA
Source: RNAcentral